GGUAAUACCAGCUCUCCGAGUGGUGGGGACGAUUAUUGGGCUUAAAGCGUUCGUAGCCGGCUUAACAAGUCUUCCGUUAAAUCCAACGAUCUAAUCGUUGGGCUGCGGGAGAUACUGUUGGGCUAGGAGGCGGGAGAAGCCGACGGUAUUCUCGGGGUAGGGGUGAAAUCCUGUAAUCCCGGGAGGACCACCAGUGGCGAAGGCGGUCGGCUAGAACGCGCUCGACGGUGAGGGACGAAAGCUGGGGGAGCGAACCGGAUUAGAAACCCGGGUAGUCCCAGCUGUAAACGAUGCGGGCUAGGUGUUGGGGUGGCCACGAGCCACUUCAGUGCCGCAUGGAAGCAAUUAAGCCCGCCGCCUGGGGAGUACGGCCGCAAGGCUGAAACUUAAAGGAAUUGGCG
Molecule: ribosomal RNA, 401 nt
Filed under: uncultured archaeon
Lineage: Archaea
Description: bacterial SSU rRNA
Rfam family: Archaeal small subunit ribosomal RNA
Source: RNAcentral